Peromyscus eremicus (cactus mouse) is the source of this 560-nucleotide long non-coding RNA. RefSeq lists it as uncharacterized. The transcript is spliced from 3 exons. The record is from RefSeq and is a predicted model, not a curated record. Lineage: Eukaryota; Metazoa; Chordata; Mammalia; Rodentia; Cricetidae.
CAGGGAGAGGACAUUCCAUAGUCUGGCAGUCAUUACCUCCUGACUACCUUGUGACUCUGUACUUUUACACUUCCUGGUUUCUGGAAUCUGGACUGACUGGUUUCAGUCACUCCUGGCCUAUUCCAGUAACAUAUGGCCUGUAGUUAAAAGAAGUCUUAGGCCUUAGUUUUAGGGUGAAAGCAUUUUAGUCUUAUUUUGGUUCCACAGGUAUUAGACUUUAUUAUCUCCUGAGAGGCAAGCUGUUUGCCUGUUCCUAGUUCUCAAGAGUUGUCAACAUCCCACUAGGAAACAGAACACAAGACUGGGAGUAAAUUAAAGAUGCUGCAGUAAAGCACAGUCUUUGUGUGAACACUGGAGAGCACAUGCGUCUCCAGGGAAGACAACCAUGGAGGCAACUGGAGAAGUUAUGUGGAUUUUAAUCAAUGAUAAAGUUUGGAGAACUCCAAAAGGAAGAUGAAACUAAUGAUCUCUCUCUGCCAACAACUGUGAUAAAAAGCAUCCAUUAAGGGUAAUAUUGAGGAUAUUCCUUUGUAGCUGAAUAAAGGCAUAAAAUGAGUCUA